Molecule: non-coding RNA, 3917 nt
Organism: Paramormyrops kingsleyae
Lineage: Eukaryota; Metazoa; Chordata; Actinopteri; Osteoglossiformes; Mormyridae
Source: RefSeq, a predicted model, not a curated record
UCGCUGUAUCAUGACAGUGAGACUGGUAGGACUGUCUUUUCUGAUAUUCCAUCGCUCUUUCCUUUCAUUUUCACAACGUGUUAGCUAGCUAUUAUUUGUUGGGAAAAAUUAUCUGUGCUAUUAAAUGAAAAAAAUGAUUUAAUAAUCAUUCCGAUUCUUAUGUGCUGAAUUCUGCCGUUUGACAUUUUGUUUGUUUAUUUGAUGCUGAAGGGCUGAAAAAAAUCUUCAGUCAGCUGAUUCAUCAGCGUCAGUUAUUAUUGGAUGUUCUUUUGGCUAUUUAUUUUUAGUUUUGUUUUUGUGCUUUUUUUGCCAUGGUCACUUUUUAACAAAGAAAAAAGUAGUUUCAAAUUAUUUUUCAGUUCAUACGGAAUAUGCAGAAAACAUUCAGGUUUAAUAUUACUUUUUCUACAGAGACAAAGAAGGAGCUGUUUAUUUUUUGUGACAAAAAAAUGGCAGCUUGCAAAAAUGUUACAUGAAACAUUUGUCAUUUUUAUAAGCUGUCUUUACACCCAAAAAAAUCUAAAAAGUAAGAUCAUCUACGGUUUUAUGUAUUAAUCAAGAUUAUGGUAUGAAGAUACAUUGCAACAGUGUCUGAGUAUUUGCUAUUUUUGGGGGUCAAGCAUGCCUGUCUGAACUCAUGCCGUCCGUGCUGUUUCGUUUACGUCUUGCGGAAUGAGCAUCGUCAAGUGGUACCACUUUGCUGAAGCCUGCCAUCGGUGGGGCCGGACCGGUGGAGACUCCGGGUGGUCCGUCUGUGUUUUGUGUUUAGCUGUUUGCCGCUAUCGCCAGUCGUGUAAGCGAGGCCGGUUGCCCCGGGCUACACUGCUGGACAACCAAAAACUAACCCUGCCAGCCAUCCUGCCCUGUUCCAGCAUCGUUACAGGCCGUAACCCUCGUUACAGCGGCACCGGUGCGGGUGGCCGUCCGCAGCCAUCCCCGCUGUAAUUAAUUAUGAGACACAUGUUCGAAGAAUACAGCCUGGGGCAGUUUUUUAAUUAAGUGGAUACUUUUUUUUUUGUUUUGAUUGAUCGAAAUCAAUUAAAGGAUUCAAUGAAAUAUGAAGAAACUGAAGAUUACACUGACAUAAAAAAAAAAUGAAGAAAAAAAAGCAUGUUCAUAACAUAUUGACUAUGGAGCUUCCGGACUGGGGGCCGUGUUGUGAUGGACAGGUGUGUCCGGGGUGGGUGGCAACAACCUAUUUAAGGUGGCGACAUCCUAUUUAAGGUGGCAACAACCUAUUUAAGGUGGCACCAUCCUAUUUGAGGUCCAACAGAAGGCUGUAGGGACUUGAAUAAAAACUCCCAGGGCUCUCGGGGGUUCAAGACGGAUGCAGCUCCACACUGACAGAUCACUUCUGGGGAUCUUCACCACUCAGCUAGUCCUCCCUGCAGAAACAGCAGCAGAUGUUGUGGUGGAAUUAAGAGCUCUGUGUGGAACCAUAACCAUUUUGCUCGACUGAAUCAACACCCAUACAGGGGUGCCAUAAAUGGCUGGAUAGUCUGAGCCAUUCCGGGAGCCCUGAUGUGGAAAGGAGAAGAUGCCAGCCGUCUGCAGCUGGGGGUCCAGAAGACCCCGGAUUUCUAGCCUGGCCUCGCGCACCCAUCCAUCACCCAUAACCGCCUUCCCAGUACAGGGCUGUGACCAGCCUGCAGCCUUUCACUGGCGGCUCAGGAAACUGGACGGCAGACAUCUGACUCAGGAUGCCAGUCGUGGGACACGUGCUCACAAGCACACAAUGAGUAGUUUACUCCAUCCACUUAACCAGGAGGAGGCCAGAAGAAAAUAAACCCAGGACACUGUGGUGGGACCGUCAGCAUCACCAAACAGCAAGCAGCCAUAAACCAAAGCAAAUCUUUGCCAGCGCCUAGCUGUGCUUGGUCAUGCGUACAGUGACUUUCGAGACUGAAUCCCAAGCUAAUUGUCGCAUAGCACUGGACGGUUAUCUCUCCGAUAUAAACUUUAUCCUCUGCUGAGCCGAAAAAUCGGCUCCUCAUUUCUACUUAAAGAACAUCAAUCUUUUACGCAACAGGAGAGUUUUCCAAGCUUGAAAGAGCACUUUAGUCAGUAACACAAAGUUACUGCUCACCUAGAGCAAAGUGCGCUCAAAAUAUUCCAUUUAACAAGUUUUCUGCUGGAUGGUGUCACAGCAAGACGUGGUUUCUGAAAGCUCGUGGAUGGAUAUUGGGACUAUUUCACAAAUAAAGAACAUACACACUGUAGUUACCUUCACUUCCAGGAACACUUACAUUAUUUAUUUCUCAAAAAGCCCCGAAAAGUCCAGAAUUGCGUACACUUGAUGAGCAACCUUUAAUGAUAAUAUGACACAUAUUAGGCUUGAUUCCCAGCCCCAGCUGCAUGUGGAGGGAGUUUGCAUUCUUCACAUCUUUGUGUUGUGUUUCCUCUGAGUUCCUGCACUUCAAAAACAUGCAAUUAUGAAAAGCAACAUCUCCAAAUUGGCCUUAGUGUGUAAUUGCGAGUGUGUUCGUCAUCUGAUGGACCGGCAUCCCAGCCAAUGCAUCCCCUGCUUCCAGCCCCAGACGUACCAGGACAGGCACCUGGCGAGCAUUUACGGAACAUCGAUGAUGUUUUUAUUUUGAUUCAUUCCCCUUAAUUGGGCUACUCUCAAAGCAUGGUGCACAAGUGACAGUUUCGCAGAAUGCGACGUGCAAGGAAGCACGGUGGGUGAGGGUGUCGGCAAAUCCAACAGGAGAAGUGAGAUCUAUGAAUAUUUAUACCUAUUUAUAAAUAUGGCCUACCCCCCCCAAUCAGGUGAGCACAGUUCCAGUGGCAUGGCUGGGUGGAUGGAGAGGUGCCAGUCUCCACAGGGCAGUCGUGUCCUGACUGUCUAUACCUCACAGCAACGAUGGCAUAAGCAGCUUCCUUAACUCCUCCAAAGCUACUGCCCAGAAGACAGUUCAACCCCCUGGUUAGGGCAGUUAGGGCAAUUAGCAACCACCAGGAUCUUCCUCUUGGCACUCAGGGUGGCUCGCUGUGAGGAAACCAUGACUACCAUUGCCCACAUGGUGCUGAUCACCCCCCGCUGGUGCAGAUCCACAGUGCACCUUCACAACAUACUAAUUUGAGUUCUGUAGCUCAAUAACAGCAGAAUCCCUCCUGAUGCCAGAACAAAAACAAGUCAUCACAGGCCCUUAUAACAGGCUACUGAAGUCACUGGCCAGCAUGGGAACUUUCAUCUGUAGGGCGAUGCUUCUCAACCCGGUCCUUGGGGACCUGCAGACAGUCCACGUCUUUGCUCCCUCCCGGCUCCCUACCGAGCAACAAUGUGGAUUAUCUUGCAGAGAGCUGGGAGGGAGCAAAAACGUGGAGCGUCUGGGGGCCCCCAAGAAAAUGCUGGAAGCAAACUGCAGAGAAAUGGGAGCUUUCCUGUUCUCUUAUUUCAACAUUUUUAGGAAAAAAUAAAGUCCUUACCUUCAUUAAAUGUAAGUGGAGUGUAGCAGCUGGAAUUGCGCUUGAUUAGAGUGGGGGGUUAAAAUGGAUCAGUCCAUCCUGGGUAACCCAGAGCACUUUUGGCCUGACAUCGGCCUAUAUGGUGUGAAAGCUACAAAAGAUAACGGCAGCUAUCUCCGACAUAACGAGGAUGAUGACAGUGGUGAUGAUGACGGCACAAAUCACAGCCCAGAGGGUCACCUCCAACUUUCUGACAUCAAAUUCGCUUCAUUCCCCAUAAAUCCAGUUGAAUGUACUUUAAAUUACUUUUGGGUACUAUUCAUUACACAUUUUUUGCUAAAGAGAGAUUGAUAGCUUUAUUAAUAUGUCUUAAAGAUGCUAGUUACCUAAUUAAAAGUUAAGAUUUAAGAUUUUCUUUUUGAACGGUGCAACAAUCCUCAGAUAUGCAAGCCCUGGAUAUUAUUUUAUCAGGAUCUGUUUGAAAUAAACACCGAUGGAGGCUGAUGAGA